AGAUAUGAUCCAGAGUACCACGGGACACGUGAAACCCUGUGGGAAGCAGGAGGGACCACCCUCCAAGGCUAAAUACUACCUAGUGACCGAUAGCGUAUAGUACCGUGAGGGAAAGGUGAAAAGAACCCCGGGAGGGGAGUGAAAUAGAACCUGAAACCCUGCACUUACAAGCUGUGGAAGCACAUUUCUUGUGUGACCGCGUACUUUUUGUAGAACGGGCCAACGAGUUACGUUAAGUAGCAAGGUUAAGCACUUAAGGUGCGGAGCCGUAGCGAAAGCGAGUUUUAACUGAGCGUUCAGUUACUUGACGUAGACCCGAAACCGGGCGACCUACCCAUGAGCAGGAUGAAGCGAAAGUAAAAUUUCGUGGAGGUCCGAACCCACGAGCGUUGAAAAGCUCGGGGAUGACUUGUGGGUAGCGGUGAAAUUCCAAUCGAGCCCGGAGAUAGCUGGUUCUCCCCGAAAUAGCUUUAGGGCUAGCCUCAAGGUGAGAGAUACGGAGGUAGAGCACUGAAUGUCCUAGGGGGUAUUGCACCUACCGAAGACUAUCAAACUCCGAAUGCCGUCAUCUUAUACUUGGGAGUCAGACUGUGGGUGAUAAGAUUCAUAGUCGAAAGGGCAACAGCCCAGAUCGUCAGCUAAGGUCCCUAAAUGUAAGUUAAGUGGUAAAGGAUGUGGGAUUGCACAGACAACCAGGAUGUUGGCUUAGAAGCAGCCACUCAUUCAAAGAGUGCGUAAUAGCUCACUGGUCGAGUGAUCCUGCGCCGAAGAUUUCCGGGGCUAAAACUUACUACCGAAGCUACGGCAUCAGUAAUGAUGGGUAGGGGAGCUUCCCAUACGGGUUGAAGCAUGACCGUAAGGACAUGUGGACAGUAUGGGAGUGAGAAUGUUGGCAUGAGUAGCGAGAUGUGGGUGAGAAUCCCACAGGCCGUAA
RNAcentral lists this ribosomal RNA (934 nucleotides) under Clostridioides difficile. RNAcentral describes it as "partial 23S ribosomal RNA". It matches the Rfam family "Bacterial large subunit ribosomal RNA", at positions 398 to 1342 of the family's 2925-position model. The record is from RNAcentral. Lineage: Bacteria; Bacillati; Bacillota; Clostridia; Peptostreptococcales; Peptostreptococcaceae.